AGAGAAAUAGCUCAGUGGUAGAGGGCAUGCUAAGCAUGCAUGAGGUCCUGGGUUCAAGCCCUGGUACCUCCA
This 72-nucleotide transfer RNA is filed under the name Camelus bactrianus (Bactrian camel). It matches the Rfam family "tRNA". Rfam says of the family: Transfer RNA (tRNA) molecules are approximately 80 nucleotides in length. Their secondary structure includes four short double-helical elements and three loops (D, anti-codon, and T loops). Further hydrogen bonds mediate the characteristic L-shaped molecular structure. tRNAs have two regions of fundamental functional importance: the anti-codon, which is responsible for specific mRNA codon recognition, and the 3' end, to which the tRNAs corresponding amino acid is attached (by aminoacyl-tRNA synthetases). tRNAs cope with the degeneracy of the genetic code in two manners: having more than one tRNA (with a specific anti-codon) for a particular amino acid; and 'wobble' base-pairing, i.e. permitting non-standard base-pairing at the 3rd anti-codon position. The record is from Rfam by way of RNAcentral. Lineage: Eukaryota; Metazoa; Chordata; Mammalia; Artiodactyla; Camelidae. RNAcentral also lists the same sequence under 2 other names.